UACGUAGGGGGCAAGCGUUGUCCGGAUUUAUUGGGCGUAAAGAGCGUGUAGGCGGUCAGGUAGGUCCGUUGUGAAAACUCGAGGCUCAACCUCGAGACGCCGAUGGAAACCAUCUGACUAGAGUCCGGAAGAGGAGAGUGGAAUUCCUGGUGUAGCGGUGAAAUGCGCAGAUAUCAGGAAGAACACCCGUGGCUAAGGCGGCUCUCUAGUACGGUACUGACGCUGAGACGCGAAAGCGUGGGGAGCGAACCGG
This 253-nucleotide ribosomal RNA is filed under the name uncultured bacterium. RNAcentral's name for it is "partial 16S ribosomal RNA". It matches the Rfam family "Bacterial small subunit ribosomal RNA", at positions 524 to 776 of the family's 1533-position model. The record is from RNAcentral.